GAUCGAAAGAUCUCCGUCAAGGAAAACUGGAGAAGACCAAAGGGUAUUGAUUCCAGAGUGAGAAGAAAGUUUAAAGGAUGUACAUUAAUGCCAAACAUUGGUUAUGGCACUGACAAGAAGACCCGCCACUACCUUCCCAAUGGGUUCAAGAAGUUUGUUGUUCAUAAUGUCAAUGAGCUCGAACUCUUGAUGAUGCACAAUAGAACUUACUGUGCGGAGAUUGCCCACGAUGUUUCAACAAAGAAGAGGAAAGAAAUUGUCGAGAGGGCAGCUCAACUUGAUGUUGUAGUUACCAACAAGCUUGCCAGGUUGCGCAGCCAAGAGGAUGAAUGAACAAUUUAGAUCGUUAAAUGCAGUUUUCAUCAUGUUUUGUAGUGAGAUUUGGUUAAUAUAUACCAUUUU
RNAcentral lists this unclassified non-coding RNA (402 nucleotides) under Hevea brasiliensis (rubber tree). The record is from RNAcentral. Lineage: Eukaryota; Viridiplantae; Streptophyta; Magnoliopsida; Malpighiales; Euphorbiaceae.